UGGCUUAACCAUAGAACUGCUUGGGAAACUGGUAAUCUAGAGUGAGGGAGAGGCAGAUGGAAUUGGUGGUGUAGGGGUAAAAUCCGUAGAGAUCACCAGGAAUACCCAUUGCGAAGGCGAUCUGCUGGAACUCAACUGACGCUAAUGCGUGAAAGCGUGGGGAGCAAACAGGAUUAGAUACCCUGGUAGUCCACGCCCUAAACGAUGUAUACUAGUUGUUGCUAAGCUAGUCUUGGCAGUAAUGCACCUAACGGAUUAAGUAUACCGCCUGGGGAGUACGGUCGCAAGAUUAAAACUCAAAGGAAUAGACGGGGACCCGCACAAGCGGUGGAGCAUGUGGUUUAAUUCGAAGAUACGCGAAGAACCUUACCCGGACUUGAUAUCUAACAAAUCAUCUAGAGAUAGAAGAGUGUCUGCUUGCAGAAAUGUUAAGACAGGUGCUGCACGGCUGUCGUCAGCUCGUGUCGUGAGAUGUUGGGUUAAGUCCCGCAACGAGCGCAACCCACGUCAUUAGU
Molecule: ribosomal RNA, 515 nt
Filed under: uncultured Campylobacter sp.
Lineage: Bacteria; Pseudomonadati; Campylobacterota; Epsilonproteobacteria; Campylobacterales; Campylobacteraceae
Description: bacterial SSU rRNA
Rfam family: Bacterial small subunit ribosomal RNA
Source: RNAcentral